CUGGACCACUGUGCACUGUGGCAGCACAGCAAUUUACCUGCAUAAAUCGGACCGCACUAAAAUUCAGUUCAGUUCAGAUAGGAGCGUGGUACGAUGCAGAGGUGAAUCGAUAACAGAGGCGUCCCUAAACGUUUCAAUGGCCAGUGCAGGAAAGAUAAGGCAAAUGGUGUCGAUGAACCUUCAGGAGGGAGUGUAUGGAGUGUGUGAUUCUCACAAGCAGCGGUUUUGGGCACAUUAAAAAUGCUAAAAUGAAAAUAGACAAGCUGAGUACAGUACUUUCGGAUGAAACUGGCACUCAUCAUUUUCACUCUACAUUGUUCUAACAUAACAAAUCAGUUAGUACUGGGGGAUCUCCC
Molecule: long non-coding RNA, 356 nt
Organism: Aedes aegypti (yellow fever mosquito)
Lineage: Eukaryota; Metazoa; Arthropoda; Insecta; Diptera; Culicidae
Exons: 2
Source: RefSeq, a predicted model, not a curated record